GAUGAACGCUGGCGGCGUGCUUAACACAUGCAAGUCGAACGGAAAGGCCCAAGCUUGCUUGGGUACUCGAGUGGCGAACGGGUGAGUAACACGUGGGUGAUCUGCCCUGCACUUCGGGAUAAGCCUGGGAAACUGGGUCUAAUACCGGAUAGGACGAUGGUUUGGAUGCCAUUGUGGAAAGUUUUUUCGGUGUGGGAUGAGCUCGCGGCCUAUCAGCUUGUUGGUGGGGUAAUGGCCUACCAAGGCGUCGACGGGUAGCCGGCCCGAGAGGGUGUACGGCCACAUUGGGACUGAGAUGCGGCCCAGACUCCUACGGGAGGCAGCAGUGGGGAAUAUUGCACAAUGGGCGCAAGCCUGAUGCGGCGACGCCGCGUGGGGGAUGACGGCCUUCGGGUUGUAAACUCCUUUCGCUAGGGACGAAGCGUUUUUGUGACGGUACCUGGAGAAGAAGCACCGGCUAACUACGUG
Molecule: ribosomal RNA, 468 nt
Filed under: uncultured bacterium
Lineage: Bacteria
Description: partial 16S ribosomal RNA
Rfam family: Bacterial small subunit ribosomal RNA
Source: RNAcentral